GAUGAACGCUGGCGGCGUGCCUAAUACAUGCAAGUCGAGCGAACGGACGAGAAGCUUGCUUUUCUGAUGUUAGCGGCGGACGGGUGAGUAACACGUGGAUAACCUACCUAUAAGACUGGGAUAACUUCGGGAAACCGGAGCUAAUACCGGAUAAUAUUUUGAACCGCAUGGUUCAAAAGUGAAAGACGGUCUUGCUGUCACUUAUAGAUGGAUCCGCGCUGCAUUAGCUAGUUGGUAAGGUAACGGCUUACCAAGGCAACGAUGCAUAGCCGACCUGAGAGGGUGAUCGGCCACACUGGAACUGAGACACGGUCUAGACGCCUACGGGAGGCAGCAGUAGGGAAUCUUCCGCAAGGGGCGAAAGCCUGACGGAGCAACGCCGCGUGAGUGAGGAAGGUCUUCGGAUCGUAAAACUCUGUUAUUAGGGAAGAACAGAUGUGUAAGUAACUGUGCACAUCUUGACGGUACCUAAUCAGAAAGCCACGGCUAACUACGU
Molecule: ribosomal RNA, 496 nt
Filed under: uncultured bacterium
Lineage: Bacteria
Description: partial 16S ribosomal RNA
Rfam family: Bacterial small subunit ribosomal RNA
Source: RNAcentral